AUUUAACGCUGGCGGCAGGCCUAACACAUGCAAGUCGAACGAGUGGCGGACGGGUGAGUAAUGUCUGGGAAACUGCCUGAUGGAGGGGGAUAACUACUGGAAACGGUAGCUAAUACCGCAUACCAUCGGAUGUGCCCAGAUGGGAUUAGCUAGUAGGUGGGGUAACGGCUCACCUAGGCGACGAUCCCUAGCUGGUCUGAGAGGAUGACCAACCACACUGGAACUGAGACACGGUCCAGACUCCUACGUGAGGCAGCAGUGGGGAAUAUUGCACAAUGGGCGCAAGCCUGAUGCAGCCAUGCCGCGGGUAUGAAGAAGGCCUGCGGGUUGUAAAGUACUUUCAGCGAGGAGGCGUUACCCGCAGAAGAAGCACCGGCUAACUCCGUGCCAGCAGCCGCGGUAAUAC
RNAcentral lists this ribosomal RNA (406 nucleotides) under uncultured bacterium. RNAcentral describes it as "partial 16S ribosomal RNA". It matches the Rfam family "Bacterial small subunit ribosomal RNA", at positions 30 to 526 of the family's 1533-position model. The record is from RNAcentral.